CUCCUGGCGAGACCUGGAGGUGGGAGGAGGAGGAGGAGGAUGAGGGGGGUGGAUGACCCGGGACAUCGGCUGGUCUCUCCUGAUGUCCUCCUGGCCUUUCAUGAUCAUCACAGUCCCAGGCUGGUGGCGCAAGCACAGAAAGUCAUUGUUUCACUUCCCAUGCAAUGGUCGAUGUCACACUCACGUUCUCAGAGGACUGCAGCGUGUGCGUCGCCCUGGUGGAGCUGACAUCCUGUUUCCUGUCAGCUGACCCUUCCCACUUCCUGCUGUCCUCCUCCCGCUGCGGCUCCAGUCGGUGAGAGACCUGCAGGCCAGAGGAAGUACAGAUUUAAAAACCUUACAAUUACAGUACACUUUCAUGUUAUACGUCAUGUUACCCAUCAAACUGCACUUUCAGUGAUUUUACUGAAAGAAAAAAAGGGGGGGGAUACUAAAUUAAGAUGAUAAGGACGGUGCAAUAUUUGCAUGUAGCUUUGUACAGUUGCCAUAACAACCAGCAAAAAGAGGACCUGCGAUGUACAUCUAAUACUGAACCACAACUCUAUUCACUGAAGAUAAUAAUAAACGGUGGAGUGUCUUUAUAUGUAAAUGGUCAAAGAAGAUAUUUGGAGCCGUGAUUGGCGAAAUUAAGCCGCGCAGCUUCACAUCAAAAUAAAACUCUUAAUCACAUCGAUUAACCUGUCAUCUAUUUAAGCCAACAGUAAACCAAUAUUAUAUCAAUAUCUGACUGUUUUUCUGGCCAGGAUAGUCCACAAGGCGUCUGCUCUAACUUACCUUAUGGUUCAUUUCCUCCUCUGUGGUCCUGCUCUCCAAAGGCUCCGCAUCCCCGUAGAUCAGAGUCCCGCUGCGGCCCAUCUUGACGUGUUUCUUGUAUGUGUAGUAAAACUCCACACACUGUGCCACUGUUUUGGUGGUCACCUAUGAAACACACACACAGACACACACACACGCAGGCACUGUUAUUGGAGUUUUAGUUACAACAUUUUUUGUUGAAUAUCAGAGCAUGUUACUGAAAGGUAGGUACAGACAUCUCCUGUGGAGAAGAAAAACACUGAGCAGCAAGCAAUCAUGUCAUGCAGUUUUAUUAAUUAAUCAUCAUCAGACCAAAAACAAGUAAAUUAACACUGCCUGAACAUGGAAAAGCAGCACAAUCUCACAUUUGAGAAGCUGUACUCACAAAACGCUGGUCAUUUUCCACUUAUUUGAGUAUCAAAUGAUCCGUUAAAUCUGGAACAUCAAUCAGAUCAUCUAAACUACUGAUUUAAAGAUAGACUGAAGUAAAAGAUGCUAAACAGACUAAAUGUUUUGUCUGUGACGUCACAAUUCAUGCUUGGGUGACGCAAAGGGUGAAAAGGACAGAGCCACCACCUCAGGGUAAACACACUCAUUUUAGAUUGAAAGAGGAUUUAGACACGUUUAAAUUGCAGCACACAACAAAGGGGUUCAUUCAUCAAAAUAAGGAACCUUUUCAUUUGAUGAAAUGACGUUUGGCCAAUCGACAGCCACGUUUAUGUUUAUUAAAAGACUGUGACACUGCAAAUGAUUACACGGGGGAGGAAACGUUCCACAGUGACUAUACUUCCCUUUCUCCGCCCCAUCAAAGGGAGGACAGGAUAUUAUCUAGUGUGCACUCUUUAACUGGGAAUUUGUGCUGACUGCACAGCCACAAGAAGGUUUUUGUCCUUGCAUGGUAAGAGCGGGCAGCUUUGAUUUAGUCUGAGACUUUGCACAUACCUGUUUCUGCACCAUGAAGAAGUCCUUCUUGUACGCACUGAUGCCUUUGUUGAACUGGCGUCUCUCAGCUGCUGUCCAGCUGUCUGAUCCUGAGGGAGAGAGACGCAGUGUGUUAGUGGCCGACUAGAACACAUUUAAUCACAUAACAAGUAUCCUGCUUAAUUCUGUGUGUGUGUGUCAGCGAGCCAGACAAGUCCGGCCCCACCCCCACCACUCUUAAAACCACACACACACACAUUUGCACAAAUCACUUGAUAAACAAUGGCUCUCCUGUCUUCUGCCUGGGAUUAAAACUGUAGAAAAAAAACCCUCCCUUUUCCCCUCCUUGGCUUAUUAUGUUGACCCUGACAAUCCUCCACAUUCACCCACUGCCCCCCACUCCCCACUACCAUUACCACCGUCACCAACACCAGCACCAAGGCCACGCUCUCAUUGCUGCAGCUGCCGUUACUUAAAAGCAGAAGACUUAGAAAGGUCAACGCUGUUUAAUGGUGAUAAGACAGAAAUUAAAAGGAAGGAAAAUCCUCUCUAUGUGGUUAAGAACUUCAGAAUAAACAUAGCGUAUUUGGUCUUGAUGAGAAUUAGGAUUAUUGCAUCAAAUGGCGCGUUUCCACUAGCUCGACUUGACUCGCCUCGGCGUGGUUAUUUUGCGUUUCCAUUAGCUAUAGUACCUGGUAUCUGAUACUUUUUUGAGUACCUGCAUUGGCGAGGUUCCCAGCAAGCUUAGGCGAUACUAUGCGUGACGUCGCCAGACUGCUGGCCACUGAUAAGUCAGAGUGCCGUCACAGGAAGAAACGUGCGACACAAGAACCAAGCCGAACAAUGCCGAACUUUCAGUCCAGUAACUGUGCCAGACGGAGCCCGUGCUCCGGUCACGGAGAAAGUACUGUACUUUAAUUAACUGAUUCUAAUGAUUCAGUUACACUGAAAACAACAGCUUUACAAGUCACUAGUCACCCGUUUGUGUGUGUGUGUCGCGUGUAAAACAAAGUCACGACAGUUUCAUGCAGCCGUGCAGUGAUGACUCCGCCUGCGUUGAGUAGGUACUACAUUGUAAUGGAAAAUAACCUUGCGAAGCGAGCUGGGACCAUAGGUGGAAAAGGGGCUUUAUGUUCAGAGCAGCAGAUGGGUGGAGUUUAACCGAUUAAGGGAUGAGGAUGCAAGGAAAUGAAGUAUUCAAUUGAGUCGACUUCCUGUGACUGAUAAUGUACUUUUAACCAGAGUUGGUUGCUGCACGAUAUGAUUCAUGAUUGAACUUCACAAUCCUUCCAGUCCUAUCAGUUUUUUCCAACUAAAUAUUUAAAAAGUGAUCACUUAGAAUUCCCAAUACCAUAUUUCCCUUUGCUCUCGAAAGUCUAAAAGUCUAGAUUAACUGGUUAAUUGUUUCAGCUCUGAAUAAAUUGCAUCUAUUCACUAUGACAGGUAAAGAAAUCCAUCCCAUUUAAAUAACCAUAAUGACUAUUUUUAUAUGACUUACCUGAGUAGUGGUAGUUUGACAGAUUGUGAGACUUUGGGAAAAUUGGAUUCCUCAGCAUCAGGAACGCCAGAGCAGCCUGGAAAAAAAACAGUAUUAUCACACAACUGUUACCAAGUGAAGGAACUUUACACAUUAGCUACACGGCAGAAAUUGUGUUUGAGAAAAGAAAACAAAAGAACACACACAGCCACGAAUCGUAAAAACAACCAAGGAAUGAGAUAACCAGCGCUCUCAUUUUCCUGCGAGUAUCAAGAGCCGGCAUCUUAUUAUGAUGAAACACCACCUGCUAUUGUUAUCGUUAAAGAAAAAAAAGAUGUACUUUGUGCUCUUUUUUUAAAAUUAACUGUCGUUCUGACCCUGAGUGUUGAAAGAAAGCCGUUUGAGUCGACUGGCUGCACAGGACGGUUGCUUUGAUAACUCCCAUCCCCUAGUAGUUUCCUUGACAACGCUGGACCAGUGCUGGUUUGCUCAGUUCUGAAAUCUUGUUGAGCUACGGAAUUAUGUGCAAAGCUGACAAAGCAUGCUGAUUCAGCAGCAGAAUACUGCACAACUUUGGCAGCUUGGUCAUGCAUUUGACAUAUUUCCACAACCACAUGAUACAGUUUGGACAAAUCAAAAACGGGCCAGUUCCUGUCUAGAAAAAGCAAAACCUUUUCGUUCAUUUUGCAUUUGCCUCAAACUAGUCACUAUAUUUAUCAGAAUAUAAACGUGCGCAGCAGCAAGAAACGAGCUGCGACUGCAACAAAAGCUACGCCGUACGUCAUGAAUUCCCUCUGCAGAACCAACAGAGAGGGUAAUUGAUAAUAUCUACGAGCUGGAACUCAAAAUGUUUAAUGAAACAACACAAUUAACAAGUCACAUAUGCUGCAAUUUGUUCUGUCCUUUAUGUAGAGUUUUAAAAGAAGUACCUCAUGCAUGCUGGAAACAGAUCAUAUCUGUAAGUUCUCAUAUUUGCAAGAGAAUUGAGAAUAGAAAGGAAUUGGGGAAGUUAAUAUUUUGAUGGCCUCAUGGGGUAAUGCUCCGACAUGACAAAAUCAAAUUGCAGUUAUCAUCUACUUGAGGGUCACGGGAGCUGGAGCCAAUCCCAGCUCACACACGCUGGACAGAUCGCCGGUCCAUUGCAGAGCCAAAAUGCAGAAAUAAAAAAACAUUCACUCUCACAAUCACACAGAGUAUCUCAUUAAACUAAUCCCUAAUCUGCAUGUUUUAGGACUGUGUGAGGAAGCCGGGGGACCCAGAGAAAACGAGCAAACCCGUCAAAAGAAAAGGCCCUCAGUCGAACCAGGACCUGAACUGACGACCACCUUGCUCUCGCUCAGCGGAGCCCAGACCAGAUCAGCGUUAUAAUGAUCCAGCUCGACAGAUGACCGCUGCCUCAGCUCUGGCACCUCCGCCUGGUACCGUGACCCAAUGUUUAUCCGCCUGGAAACAGGACAUCAAGUGUGAGCGAC
Molecule: long non-coding RNA, 4662 nt
Organism: Solea solea (common sole)
Lineage: Eukaryota; Metazoa; Chordata; Actinopteri; Pleuronectiformes; Soleidae
Exons: 3
Source: RefSeq, a predicted model, not a curated record